This 283-nucleotide ribosomal RNA is filed under the name Intestinibacter bartlettii DSM 16795. RNAcentral describes it as "partial 16S ribosomal RNA". It matches the Rfam family "Bacterial small subunit ribosomal RNA", at positions 501 to 776 of the family's 1533-position model. Lineage: Bacteria; Bacillati; Bacillota; Clostridia; Peptostreptococcales; Peptostreptococcaceae. The record is from RNAcentral.
UCUUUUCCUUUUUUUCCCUCCUCCUCUUUCAUACGUAGGGGGCUAGCGUUAUCCGGAUUUACUGGGCGUAAAGGGUGCGUAGGCGGUCUUUUAAGUCAGGAGUGAAAGGCUACGGCUCAACCGUAGUAAGCUCUUGAAACUGGAGGACUUGAGUGCAGGAGAGGAGAGUGGAAUUCCUAGUGUAGCGGUGAAAUGCGUAGAUAUUAGGAGGAACACCAGUAGCGAAGGCGGCUCUCUGGACUGUAACUGACGCUGAGGCACGAAAGCGUGGGGAGCAAACAGG